AGGCCUGUGAUGAUCUUCUGUUGCUUAGUUGGAAUUACCGACUGAUGAUAUCUGUGAUGCAAAUCGUUGCUGCAACUGAGGCUUUUA
This 87-nucleotide small nucleolar RNA is filed under the name Amborella trichopoda. The record is from RNAcentral. Lineage: Eukaryota; Viridiplantae; Streptophyta; Magnoliopsida; Amborellales; Amborellaceae.